CUUGCUUGCAAUGCAGAGGGAGCGAAAUGAAAGAUAACAAAGAAUAGUAUGGAGCAGUCUAGUCAGUAAGUUGGACGUCUCAGCGUAAGGAGGAGGAGAGGGCCACACUUUAAGUGACAGGUGUUUUCAAGAAGUUUAUUCUGUAAUGCUUCAACCUGAAUGACAUCAGCACAACACCCAGGACUGAACGUUGAGCAGGACCAAGUGUGGCUGUAAGGACUGGAAGCAGAUGUCUUGUCCCAUCAGGUACAUUUCAGCCAUGGAAAAAUCAUGAUUUCUUAGGUAUACAAAGUGCCACAAU
RNAcentral lists this long non-coding RNA (301 nucleotides) under Apteryx owenii (little spotted kiwi). RNAcentral's name for it is "lncRNA (ENSAOWG00000014950.1)". The record is from RNAcentral. Lineage: Eukaryota; Metazoa; Chordata; Aves; Apterygiformes; Apterygidae.